Molecule: ribosomal RNA, 515 nt
Filed under: uncultured bacterium
Lineage: Bacteria
Description: partial 16S ribosomal RNA
Rfam family: Bacterial small subunit ribosomal RNA
Source: RNAcentral
GAUGAACGCUGGCGGCGUGCCUAAUACAUGCAAGUCGAGCGAAUGGAUUGAGAGCUUGCUCUUAUGAAGUUAGCGGCGGACGGGUGAGUAACACGUGGGUAACCUGCCCAUAAGACUGGGAUAACUCCGGGAAACCGGGGCUAAUACCGGAUAACAUUUUGAACCGCAUGGGUCGAAAUUGAAAGGCGGCUUCGGCUGUCACUUAUGCAUGGACCCGCGUCGCAUUAGGGAGUUGGUGAGGUAACGGCUCACCAAGGCAACGAUGCGUAGCCGAACUGAGAGGGUGAUCGGCCACACUGGGACUGAGACACGGCCCAGACUCCUACGGGAGGCAGCAGUAGGGAAUCUUCCGCAAUGGACGAAAGUCUGACGGAGCAACGCCGCGUGAGUGAUGAAGGCUUCCGGGUCGUAAAACUCUGUUGUUAGGGAAGAACAAGUGCUAGUUGAAUAAGCUGGCACCUUGACGGUACCUAACCAGAAAGCCACGGCUAACUACGUGCCAGCAGCCGCGGUAA